UAUAGAAGUAUACCUUGUAUAGUAUUCUUUUUUAUCUUCUUUAUCAUAAGUUCACCUCCCUCAAUGAACGACGAAGACCUAUAUUCACUUUAUUAAAUUUUUAUUAAAUUAACAACGAGAUCUAUUAUCAUUUCUCGCAUGUCCUCGGAAAUUUAUAGUGGGUGCAAAUUCUCCCAAUUUGUGACCUACCAUACGAUCUGUUAUAAAAAUAGGCAAAUGUUCCUUGCCAUUAUGAAUAGCAAUUGUAUGGCCGAUCAUUGUAGGUAUAAUGGUAGAUGCUCGGGACCAAGUUAUUAUUAUCUCUUUUUCUGC
Long non-coding RNA from Telopea speciosissima, 312 nucleotides. RefSeq lists it as uncharacterized. NCBI's taxonomy places the organism in Eukaryota, Viridiplantae, Streptophyta, Magnoliopsida, Proteales, Proteaceae. The record is from RefSeq and is a predicted model, not a curated record. The transcript is spliced from 3 exons.